This 71-nucleotide transfer RNA is filed under the name Candidatus Melainabacteria bacterium RIFCSPLOWO2_02_FULL_35_15. Its description in RNAcentral is "tRNA-Gly". It matches the Rfam family "tRNA". From Rfam's summary of the family: Transfer RNA (tRNA) molecules are approximately 80 nucleotides in length. Their secondary structure includes four short double-helical elements and three loops (D, anti-codon, and T loops). Further hydrogen bonds mediate the characteristic L-shaped molecular structure. tRNAs have two regions of fundamental functional importance: the anti-codon, which is responsible for specific mRNA codon recognition, and the 3' end, to which the tRNAs corresponding amino acid is attached (by aminoacyl-tRNA synthetases). tRNAs cope with the degeneracy of the genetic code in two manners: having more than one tRNA (with a specific anti-codon) for a particular amino acid; and 'wobble' base-pairing, i.e. permitting non-standard base-pairing at the 3rd anti-codon position. Lineage: Bacteria; Bacillati; Candidatus Melainabacteria. RNAcentral also lists the same sequence under 2 other names. The record is from RNAcentral.
GCGGGUGUAGUUUAAUGGUAAAACCAAAGCCUUCCAAGCUUUUGUUGAGGGUUCGAUUCCCUUCGCCCGCU